GCUACAGAAGCAGAAGCUGGGAGAGCAGAGGCUGGAGGAGAGGCCUUGGAACAGAGGUCUUGGAAGGACAUUGUGAAAUGAACCGGACCUAAGAUAUCACUAAAAGCAAGUACUUUUGCAUUUGAAGGAGUGUUCAUCUCCACUGGAACCUCAAAUGUACCCAGUACUGGAACGGGUCCACUAAAGAAGGAGUAGAUAAUGAUGACAGAUUAUACCCAGUGAGACAGACAUGGCUCAGCACAGUGACAGUGAGACACAACAGCUGAUAACAACAGGAUCCAUUCGGAAGGGGAGUGAUCUCAGAACAUAACAAACCUCAUUCCUUAGCAAGUCACAGAAAGUAAAGAGAAGGUCUAUUGCUUGCCUUCAAAAUUGAAACAUUACAACUUGAAGAGAAGCCUUUAAAGCAGGAAUAUAAACAACUCAAAAUGGCUUCAGGAAGUACCUGAAACCAAACAGAUUAACCAGGUCUCUUCUUUCCAAGAAUAAAUAAGCCAAGCUGCUGAGAGUCACAGACAAGUCUGCAAAGAAGAUUUUAAGACAAUACCAGCUUACUGGGAGAAGCAGAAACCAACACAGCAGCUUGGAAUAGGAUUAUAUUACAUGUCUUUGAAGUGACACUCCCAAACAUGUUUUCCUGCCCAAAUGCUAUAAAGUGUGCUCUAGAUUUCGAGCUGCUGUGAGCUGUUACCAUGCUAAGGUGGGCUUUGAGGACACAACUAUCUUUGAGCCAUAUGCUUUUGUAAGUAACCUCUUACCUAUAAGUAACCACAAUAGAACUCAGUGAAAUUGGACUUUGAUGGUAUCUGUCUUUGGUCUCUUGUGAACUUCCUAUCUGGAGUGAACAAAUAUGUUUGUUGCAUCUUCUCAAAAAGUCUUGACACACAGCAAUAACAAAUACAAACAGCACAUUGCCCCCUUGAAAAGAGCUAAAACAAAUGAAAAAUGUGUAUAUUCUGUAUAUGAUAUGUUUAUAUUUAUGUAGAGAGAAAUAGUGAUCAUAAUAACCCGGAGAAGGUUUCUUCUUGAAAGGUGCAGAAUUUAGCCUUGACCAAGGAAUUUGUUCCAAGAAUAGAAUAUUGGCAAAUAUUAGGUGAUCAGGAGUUAAAAUAAUUUAAACUUGAUUUUUUUUUUUUUUUUUGCUGCCCUUUGGAAAGUAUCAUAUGUAGAAGUUCAGGUUAGUCUUCCCAAAGUCAGUAGAGCAUAUGCAACAUAAGGCAUCAGGACUAAAACUACCUUGAACAAGGAGCCUGUCGACACCAGACAGUGAGUGAGACCACCCAAACUAUGCAGUCCCAGCUGAGAUUCCCUGGAAUCAUGCAAAUCACACAAGCUGGCAUAGACCAGAAUAGCUUUUCAGAUGGUUUGUAGAAUUGUGAGAAAUAUCACUAAUGUAUUUUGCUUGAAAUCUUUGUGUUUUGUCAUAGCUUGUUAUGCAUCCAAAGCAAAACUGAAAUAAUGCCACUAUACUAUCACUUGGGAUGUAAAAUAUGGCAUAUCCAUGUGUGUGAAUAUGGGUACA
This is a long non-coding RNA of Meriones unguiculatus (Mongolian gerbil), 1522 nucleotides long. RefSeq lists it as uncharacterized. The record is from RefSeq and is a predicted model, not a curated record. NCBI's taxonomy places the organism in Eukaryota, Metazoa, Chordata, Mammalia, Rodentia, Muridae. The transcript has 4 exons.